This 433-nucleotide ribosomal RNA is filed under the name uncultured organism. RNAcentral describes it as "bacterial SSU rRNA". It matches the Rfam family "Bacterial small subunit ribosomal RNA", at positions 29 to 507 of the family's 1533-position model. The record is from RNAcentral.
AACGAACGCUGGCGGCAGGCCUAACACAUGCAAGUCGAGCGGAUCCUUCGGGAUUAGCGGCGGACGGGUGAGUAACGCGUGGGAAUAUGCCCUUCUCUACGGAAUAGCCUCGGGAAACUGAGAGUAAUACCGUAUACGCCCUUUGGGGGAAAGAUUUAUCGGAGAAGGAUUAGCCCGCGUUGGAUUAGGUAGUUGGUGGGGUAAUGGCCUACCAAGCCUACGAUCCAUAGCUGGUUUGAGAGGAUGAUCAGCCACACUGGGACUGAGACACGGCCCAGACUCCUACGGGAGGCAGCAGUGGGGAAUCUUAGACAAUGGGGGCAACCCUGAUCUAGCCAUGCCGCGUGAGUGAUGAAGGCCUUAGGGUUGUAAAGCUCUUUCAGCUGGGAAGAUAAUGACGGUACCAGCAGAAGAAGCCCCGGCUAACUCCGUG